CUUUUCAUUGUAAGCUUCACUGCAGUGCAUAUCCUCUCAUUAUAUCUUGCACCUGUUAGUUUUUACAUGACUAUAUCACCACAGGACUGAGGAUAUAUUUGCCCUAAAAUCAGAAAUGUUCUUCGUAUUUCCUCCUCAACCACCUGUUUCUCAGCUGCCGAGGUCUAAGUGGUGACAGGAUGGCAGUCUUUUGCAUUUUACAGUAGCACAUCUACCAGUGAGCACAAAUCAAACUGCAAAGAAAGGGGAUUGGAGCUGAGAUCCAGAAAACCAAAGAGGUUUUUGUAAAGGCAACAGAAAAACUGAGAAAGAUAAGUGAUAACUAUGGGCUGAGAAUUAUAGUGAAGAGUUAAAUCUGAUUUGAGUCUACAACAAGCUACAGGUAACAUGUAUAUGGCAAGGGUAAAAUACUAUUCUCUGUGGAAAUUAUGGAAACUUUUAAAGAAACAUACCCAAUAGAAAUAUUUCUCAUCAGGAAUAAUAUCAACACUAUACUUUUAUCUUUGAUCAUGGAUCAUUUCUCUUAUGAUCAGCCCCCACUGAUCCACAGUUGAAGGUCAUGUCCUUUUAUCAAGGCCUUUACCAUUAAUUGCAGAUUAUCCUGCAAUUCUUUGCUUCUAAAUUUGCAGUUUACCAUGAAUUGCAGAUUAUUUUACAAUUCUUUGUUUUCAAGUUUGCACCAGUUUGAAAAUAGAGUCUUAGCUAAUGUCUAAAGGGAUUUUCUUUCCUUCAACAUGCUUUAGAAAUCGCUGAUGAUUUGUUUUUCUUUACUCCAGAACUCUCCAUUUGGGUGGCCCUGUGGCUCUGUGUCUCUCUGUAUGCUCUUUGCUGGGAGCCCCUUUAGCUCUGGAAAUGCUAGCUGUAGCCUCUAUAAACUGCUGUUUCUCCAAUCUGCCUGCUAUCUUCUACUCAGCUGCCUCACAGCCCUAUGGUAAUGGGAAAGAUUUUCGCAGUUCCUGGCUAUUUUCAAGAAAAGAGGAGUAAUUUGCAGAUUAGUCUGUGAUAAAAAAAAAUAGUCUGCCUCACUGCAGAUACUCUGUGCUAAGGUUUUAAAGGUUGUGGUUAGAGACCUAUGGGUCCUGAAAUCUGCAAAGAAUAUGAAUCCCUGCUUGAAAAAUUUUUAAUGAGUGAUAACUGGGUUUUGACAUAUGACACACUUCUUAUUUUAGAUCAUGAUGAAAACAUCUUUGAAAUUACUCUUUUAUUUAUUUAAUGUAUAAGUUACUUUAAUGUAUAAACUAUUUAAGUAUCCAACUACUGGCAGAUAUUUGAGCUUUUACUCUUUAGAUUUUCAUGCUCACUGUUGUGGGUAUCUAUGUUGAAGUGAACCAUUGAAACAAUUGGAUAAGAAUUGUGAAUGAAAGGAGUUCCUGUCGUGGUGCAGUGAUUAAUGAACCCAACUAGUAUCCAUGAGGAUGCGGGUUCCAUCCCUGGCCUUUCUCAGUGGGUUGGGGAUCUGGUGUUGCUGUGAGCUGUGGAAUAGGUCACAGACACGGCUCAGAUCCUGUGUUGCUGUGGCUGUGGUAUAGGCUGGCAUCUGGAGCUCCAAUUCAACCCCUAGCCUGGGAACCUUCAUAUGCCUCGGGUGUGGCCCUAAAAAG
Molecule: long non-coding RNA, 1601 nt
Filed under: Sus scrofa (pig)
Lineage: Eukaryota; Metazoa; Chordata; Mammalia; Artiodactyla; Suidae
Description: lncRNA (ENSSSCG00000042708.2)
Source: RNAcentral